UACCAGCACCCCGAGUGGUCGGGACGAUUAUUGGGCCUAAAGCAUCCGUAGCCGGCCUUACAAGUCCUCCGUUAAAUCAGCUGCUUAACAGAUGGGCUGCGGAGGAUACUAUAAGACUAGGAGGCAGGAGAGGCAAGCGGUACUCAGUGGGUAGGGGUAAAAUCCGUUGAUCCAUUGAAGACCACCAGUGGCGAAGGCGGCUUGCCAGAAUGCGCUCGACGGUGAGGGAUGAAAGCUGGGGGAGCAAACCGG
RNAcentral lists this ribosomal RNA (252 nucleotides) under uncultured bacterium. RNAcentral describes it as "partial 16S ribosomal RNA". It matches the Rfam family "Archaeal small subunit ribosomal RNA", at positions 474 to 727 of the family's 1478-position model. The record is from RNAcentral.